CCUACGGGAGGCAGCAGUGAGGAAUAUUGGUCAAUGGGCGGAAGCCUGAACCAGCCAAGUAGCGUGCGGGAUGAAGGCCCUACGGGUUGUAACCCGCUUUUGCACGGGGACAACACCCUCCACUUGUGGAGGUCUGCAGGUACCGUGCGACUAAGGGCCGGCUAAUUCCGUUACAGCAGCCGCGGUACUACGUAAGGCAGGAGGGUUAUCCGUAUUCAUUGGGCGUAAAGGGAGCGUAGGCGGGCGUUCAAGUCAGCGGUAAAAUGGCGCGGCUCAACCGCGCCCCGAAGUUGAAACUGGACGCCUUGAGUGCACAACAGGCAGGCGGAAUUCGUGGUGUAGCGGUGAAAUGCAUAGAUAUCACGAGGAACCCCGAUUGCGAAGGCAGCCUGCCGGGGUGCGACUGACGCUGAGGCUCGAAGGUGCGGGUAUCAAACAGGAUUAGAUACCCGUGUAGUC
Molecule: ribosomal RNA, 459 nt
Filed under: uncultured bacterium
Lineage: Bacteria
Description: partial 16S ribosomal RNA
Rfam family: Bacterial small subunit ribosomal RNA
Source: RNAcentral